This 448-nucleotide ribosomal RNA is filed under the name uncultured bacterium. RNAcentral's name for it is "partial 16S ribosomal RNA". It matches the Rfam family "Bacterial small subunit ribosomal RNA", at positions 29 to 523 of the family's 1533-position model. The record is from RNAcentral.
AACGAACGCUGGCGGCAUGCCUAACACAUGCAAGUCGAACGAGAUCUUCGGGUCUAGUGGCGCACGGGUGCGUAACGCGUGGGAAUCUGCCCUUUGGUUCGGAAUAACAGUUGGAAACGACUGCUAAUACCGGAUGAUGACGAAAGUCCAAAGAUUUAUCGCCAGAGGAUGAGCCCGCGUAGGAUUAGCUAGUUGGUGUGGUAAAGGCGCACCAAGGCGACGAUCCUUAGCUGGUCUGAGAGGAUGAUCAGCCACACUGGGACUGAGACACGGCCCAGACUCCUACGGGAGGCAGCAGUGGGGAAUAUUGGACAAUGGGCGAAAGUCUGAUCCAGCAAUGCCGCGUGAGUGAUGAAGGCCUAGGGUUGUAAAGCUCUUUUACCCGGGAUGAUAAUGACAGUACCGGGAGAAUAAGCUCCGGCUAACUCCGUGCCAGCCGCCGCGGUAA